ACAACGAAGAGUUUGAUCCUGGCUCAGGAUGAACGCUAGCGGCAGGCUUAACACAUGCAAGUCGAGGGGCAGUCCCGCUUCCGAGCGGG
Molecule: ribosomal RNA, 89 nt
Filed under: Bacteroidales bacterium
Lineage: Bacteria; Pseudomonadati; Bacteroidota; Bacteroidia; Bacteroidales
Description: partial 16S ribosomal RNA
Rfam family: Bacterial small subunit ribosomal RNA
Source: RNAcentral